RNAcentral lists this ribosomal RNA (253 nucleotides) under uncultured bacterium. RNAcentral's name for it is "partial 16S ribosomal RNA". It matches the Rfam family "Bacterial small subunit ribosomal RNA", at positions 524 to 776 of the family's 1533-position model. The record is from RNAcentral.
UACGUAGGGGGCAAGCGUUGUCCGGAUUUAUUGGGCGUAAAGAGCGUGUAGGCGGCCGCACAGGUCCGUUGUGAAAACUGGAGGCUUAACCUCCAGACGUCGAUGGAAACCGUGCGGCUAGAGUCCGGAAGAGGAGAGUGGAAUUCCUGGUGUAGCGGUGAAAUGCGCAGAUAUCAGGAAGAACACCCGUGGCUAAGGCGGUUCUCUAGUACGGUACUGACGCUGAGACGCGAAAGCGUGGGGAGCGAACAGG